CGGGAGAAAUCCCGUCUAAUACGGCAUAAUGCAUCGACGGGACAUCCUGUUGGUGCCAAAGGUUAAUUCCGGUGGCGGAUGGGCAUGCGUCGCAUUAGUUAGUUGGCGGUGUAACGGACCACCAAGACGACGAUGCGUAGGGGUUCUGAGAGGAAGGUCCCCCACACUGGUACUGAGACACGGACCAGACUCCUACGGGAGGCAGCAGUGAGGAAUAUUGGUCAAUGGGCGGGAGCCUGAACCAGCCAAGUCGCGUGAGGGAUGACGGCCCUAUGGGUUGUAAACCUCUUUUGCCGGGGAGCAAAGUGCCGCACGUGUGCGGUUUGGAGAGUACCCGGAGAAAAAGCAUCGGCUAACUCCGUGCCAGCAGCCGCGGUAAUACGGAGGAUGCGAGCGUUAUCCGGAUUUAUUGGGUUUGAAGGGUGCGUAGGCGGACGCUUAAGUCAGCGGUAAAAUUGCGGGGCUCAACCUCGUCGAGCCGUUGAAACUGGGUGCCUUGAGUGGGCGAGAAGUACGCGGAAUGCGUGGUGUAGCGGUGAAAUGCAUAGAUAUCACGCAGAACUCCGAUUGCGAAGGCAGCGUACCGGCGCCCAACUGACGCUGAAGCACGAAGGCGUGGGUAUCGAACAGGAUUAGAUACCCUGGUAGUCCACGCAGUAAACGAUGAAUGCUAGUUGUCCGGGGCGAUUGAGUUCUGGGUGACACAGCGAAAGCGUUAAGCAUUCCACCUGGG
RNAcentral lists this ribosomal RNA (733 nucleotides) under uncultured bacterium. RNAcentral describes it as "bacterial SSU rRNA". It matches the Rfam family "Bacterial small subunit ribosomal RNA", at positions 148 to 877 of the family's 1533-position model. The record is from RNAcentral.